Molecule: ribosomal RNA, 379 nt
Filed under: uncultured eukaryote
Lineage: Eukaryota
Description: SSU rRNA
Rfam family: Eukaryotic small subunit ribosomal RNA
Source: RNAcentral
AGCUCCAAUAGCGUAUAUUAAAGUUGUUGCAGUUAAAAAGCUCGUAGUCGGAUUUUGGCUCUCGGCGAACUGUCCGCCUACCGGUGAGUACGGAUCGCCGAUUGCUUCCUUCUGAACCCCUUUCCCGCUCUUCAUUGAGUUGGGUUUGGUUUUCAGAUCUUUUACUUUGAAAAAAUUAGAGUGUUCAAAGCAGGCCAACGCACGAAUAGGUUAGCAUGGAAUAAUGGAAUAGGACUUCCGUUCUAUUUUGUUGGUUUCUAGGACAGAAGUAAUGAUUAAUAGGGACAGUUGGGGGCAUUCGUAUUCCAUUGUCAGAGGUGAAAUUCUUGGAUUAACGGAAGACGAACUUCUGCGAAAGCAUCUGCCAAGGAUGUUUUCA